Molecule: ribosomal RNA, 495 nt
Filed under: uncultured bacterium
Lineage: Bacteria
Description: partial 16S ribosomal RNA
Rfam family: Bacterial small subunit ribosomal RNA
Source: RNAcentral
GAUGAACGCUGGCGGCGUGCCUAAUACAUGCAAGUAGAACGCUGAAGGAGGAGCUUGCUCUUCUGGAUGAGUUGCGAACGGGUGAGUAACGCGUAGGUAACCUGCCUGGUAGCGGGGGAUAACUAUUGGAAACGAUAGCUAAUACCGCAUGACAACAGUUAUUGCAUGAUAACUGUUUAAAAGGGGCAACUGCUCCACUACCAGAUGGACCUGCGUUGUAUUAGCUAGUUGGUGAGGUAACGGCUCACCAAGGCGACGAUACAUAGCCGACCUGAGAGGGGGAUCGGCCACACUGGGACUGAGACACGGCCCAGACUCCUACAGGAGGCAGCAGUAGGGAAUCUUCGGCAAUGGACGGAAGUCUGACCGAGCAACGCCGCGUGAGUGAAGAAGGUUUUCGGAUCGUAAAGCUCUGUUGUAAGAGAAGAACGAGUGUGAGAGUGGAAAGUUCACACUGUGACGGUAUCUUACCAGAAAGGGACGGCUAACUACGUG